GAUGAAGAACGUAGCGAAAUGCGAUAAGUAAUGCGAAUUGCAGAAUUUCCGUGAGUCAUCGAAUCUUUGAACGCACAUUGCGCCCACUGGUAUUCCGGUGGGCAUACCUGUUCGAGCGUCAUUAUCCUCCCUCAAACCCCGGGUUUGGUGUUGGACCCAAGUUGUGUGAACAACUGGUCUCAAAGACAAUGACGGCGUCCGUGGGACCCUCGGUGCAACGAGCUUUUAGGAGCACGCAUCGAGUUGCAAGGACCUUCCGGGCCGGUCUCCUUUACCAUUUUACAAGGUUGACCUCGGAUCAGGUAGGAAUACCCGCUGAACUUAAGCAUAUCAAUAAGCGGAGGA
RNAcentral lists this unclassified non-coding RNA (345 nucleotides) under soil metagenome. RNAcentral's name for it is "partial contains 5.8S ribosomal RNA, internal transcribed spacer 2, and large subunit ribosomal RNA". The stretch from base 1 to 121 matches the Rfam family "5.8S ribosomal RNA", at positions 35 to 154 of the family's 154-position model. The record is from RNAcentral.